RNAcentral lists this ribosomal RNA (257 nucleotides) under uncultured bacterium. Its description in RNAcentral is "partial 16S ribosomal RNA". It matches the Rfam family "Bacterial small subunit ribosomal RNA", at positions 524 to 776 of the family's 1533-position model. The record is from RNAcentral.
UACGGAGGGUGCAAGCGUUAUCCGGAUUCACUGGGUUUAAAGGGUGCGUAGGCGGACAGGUAAGUCAGUGGUGAAAUCUCUGGGCUUAACUCAGAAACUGCCGUUGAUACUAUUUGUCUUGAAUAUCUUGGAGGUAAGCGGAAUAUGUCAUGUAGCGGAUGAAAUGCUUAGAUAUGACAUAGAAACACCAAAUUGCGAAGGCAGCUCACUAACUCAAUCAUUGACUCUGAGGCACGAAAGCGUGGGGAUCAAACAGG